Molecule: ribosomal RNA, 406 nt
Filed under: uncultured bacterium
Lineage: Bacteria
Description: partial 16S ribosomal RNA
Rfam family: Bacterial small subunit ribosomal RNA
Source: RNAcentral
AUUGAACGCUGGCGGCAGGCCUAACACAUGCAAGUCGAGCGAGCGGCGGACGGGUGAGUAAUGUAUGGGGAUCUGCGCGAUAGAGGGGGAUAACUACUGGGAACGGUGGCUAAUACCGCAUACUAGCGGCUGAGCCCAGGUGGGAUGAGCUAGUGGGUGGGGUAAAGGCCCCCCUAGGCGCCGAUCUCUAGCUGGUCGGAGAGGAUGAUCAGUCACACUGGAACUUGGACACGGCCCAGACGCCUACGGGAGGCAGCAGUGGGGAAUAUUGGACAAUGGGCGAAAGCCUGAUCCAGCCAUGCCGCGUGUAUGAAGAAGGUCUUAGGGUUGUAAAGCACUUUCAGCGGGGAGGCGUUACCAGCAGAAGAAGCACCGGCUAACUCCGUGCCAGCAGCCGCGGUAAUAC